RNAcentral lists this transfer RNA (71 nucleotides) under Ovis aries (sheep). It matches the Rfam family "tRNA". From Rfam's summary of the family: Transfer RNA (tRNA) molecules are approximately 80 nucleotides in length. Lineage: Eukaryota; Metazoa; Chordata; Mammalia; Artiodactyla; Bovidae. The record is from Rfam by way of RNAcentral.
UCCCAGGUAGCUCCGCGGUAAAGAAUCUACCUGCCAAGAAGGAGACACAGGUUUGAUCCCUGCCUUGGGAA